CCUACGGGAGGCAGCAGUGAGGAAUAUUGGUCAAUGGGCGGGAGCCUGAACCAGCCAAGCCGCGUGAGGGAAGAAGGUACAGCGUAUCGUAAACCUCUUUUGUCAGGGAACAAAGGCGGGGACUAGUCCCCGGAUGCGGGUACCUUAAGAACAAGCAUCGGCUAACUCCGUGCCAGCAGCCGCGGUAAUACGGAGGAUGCGAGCGUUAUCCGGAUUUAUUGGGUUUAAAGGGUGCGCAGGCGGCCUGUUAAGUCAGCGGUAAAAGGCCGGGGCUCAACCCCGGCGAGCCGUUGAAACUGGCGGGCUGGAGUGGGAGGGAAGUACGCGGAAUGCGCGGUGUAGCGGUGAAAUGCUUAGAUAUCGCGCAGAACCCCGAUUGCGAAGGCAGCGUACCGGAUCCAAACUGACGCUGAGGCACGAAAGCGUGGGUAUCGAACAGGAUUAGAUACCCUGGUAGUC
RNAcentral lists this ribosomal RNA (459 nucleotides) under uncultured bacterium. RNAcentral's name for it is "partial 16S ribosomal RNA". It matches the Rfam family "Bacterial small subunit ribosomal RNA", at positions 338 to 795 of the family's 1533-position model. The record is from RNAcentral.